This 253-nucleotide ribosomal RNA is filed under the name uncultured bacterium. Its description in RNAcentral is "partial 16S ribosomal RNA". It matches the Rfam family "Bacterial small subunit ribosomal RNA", at positions 524 to 776 of the family's 1533-position model. The record is from RNAcentral.
UACGUAGGGAGCAAGCGUUGUCCGGAAUUAUUGGGCGUAAAGGGCGCGUAGGCGGCCAUGCGUGUCUUCCGUGAAAUCCCUCGGCUUAACUGAGGACGUGCGGAGGAAACUGCAAGGCUCGAGUCCGGGAGAGGGGGGUGGAAUUCCACGUGUAGCAGUGAAAUGCGUAGAGAUGUGGAGGAACACCGAUGGCGAAGGCAGCCCCCUGGGUUAACACUGACGCUCAGGCACGAAAGCGUGGGGAGCAAACAGG